CGCACCAGGGGCUCGUGAGCCCUCUCAGCUGCAGCGCUCCGGGCUCAAACAAGAGAGAUUGGAGAAAUAUUGGAAUCAACACCCCUAAAAUCCAUUCCAUCUCCCGGUGAAUCAAAUGCAUUCUCGUCAUUCACUCAAGAAUCAAAUGCAUUUCAAACGAUGGACAUUGAACAAAUCAAUUUGAAUACCUAAUUUGCGGCGGAGGCCGAGCCUGAGGUGGAGGAGAUAUCAUCUAUCUAUGUCAAUGACCACCAAACAAAGAGGCAUUACUCCGGCAAAAAUGAUACUCAUAUAUCGUUUGUAUAUCGAGUACACAAAACGACUCCGUAAUAAGGGUCGAUCAGAGAAGAGCUGUAUUAAGGUGCCAUUCUCAAAAAAAUAAAAUUCUCAAUGGCGCAAAGGCACCAUCAUUUCACGCGACAUCAAGUAAAUCAAGUCACACUUUCAACGCGUCCUAAAGGACAUGAAGUGAUGAGCAAAUCAUCAUGAGUAAUGAGCAAAUCAUCGAUCAAGCAGAAAAAAUGUUCAUUGCCGAGCAUCGUCAAUCAUUUAAUCCAUAUAUACUGCGACAAACGCUCCAAGGGCUCGGACGGUCGUGGUACAACGACUUUUAGCCACAUCCACAAGGCCCCAAGGCCAAAAGGCGGCGAAGAGAGAGAAAGGCAAAAGUCAUGGGACCAAACUCAACGCAACAUCGUCG
RNAcentral lists this long non-coding RNA (700 nucleotides) under Salvia miltiorrhiza (redroot sage). RNAcentral describes it as "long non-coding RNA (SMIL_LNC013456)". Lineage: Eukaryota; Viridiplantae; Streptophyta; Magnoliopsida; Lamiales; Lamiaceae. The record is from RNAcentral.